ACAGCUAUGGAAAUGAUGCCUUAAAGAUCUUUUCAGUGUUGUUGUAUGAAUACCUUUUUCUGCCAUAGAAUCCUUUUGUGAGACAUCAAGAGUUCUCACUGAAGACUGAUGCUGAGGAUUCAAGCUUCAAAGGGACUUUUUUAGAGAAUGAGAAAGACACUCCUGCUCUUUGAGAAGCACUGGUACUAUCUGGGAACACUUGUGAGAUUUGAUUUCCAAGCACGUGGAGUCUUUCAAUCAAGAAGAAAUUCUGUCUUGUACGAAGUGAAUAAAGAGAUCCUUUGCAAUGUCCCCUUGGAAUAGCAAAGUAAAGAGGUUAUUUCCUGAGGGGAACAUGGAGAGUGCAGACUUCAGGUGCACAAUCUGGCCUUGAAAAUACAAGAUGAACAAUUGGCCCACUGUAUGGGAACUGUUGAAUCACAGCCUGAACCUCUGAUUGACCACCUGAGGUGAGCACUGAGUCAGCCACAGGAGCACAGGUGAAGGCAAUUCAGCUGUGUGACUGGAAGGGGUGGAACCAGGCUCUACCUCUCCUAGACCCCAUUUAAGAGCUGACUGCCCCCUGAGGAAGGAUCUCCUCCUGGAGAUUGCUCCUUGUGGAGUUUUUGUGAGCCUACAACACCAGUGAGCACCUUUCAUUUUUGUCUGAUUAACUUUUCCAAUGCGGUAAUCUUACCAGCCUAACUUCUCUGUUUACUGUAUAACAUCUGAAUACUUAUUAACCAUACACCCACCUAUAUCUCAAGGGGAAAAAAACAGAGAUUAUACAUACACACGUUCUCACGUACUUUCACGUUGAGGCAGAUCUUUCUCUUUUAGUUAGUAUAUUCUGACAACUAAAUACAUGGUACUUUGUCUGAAAAAAAGGUUUAUGGAUGUUGCUGUGUUUGCCUUUGCUCUCAGAUCCCAAGGUGAAAGCUCUGAGCUACUUCCAAACUAAUCUUUGCUCUGGGUGAAAAUUGUUUGGGUAAUAAGAGAUGUGUACCCAAGAGCCAAAAUAUGAGAUUUUCCUCCAAUAAAUAUACACAUCCAGGGAGAAAAAACAACCGCCUAAAGAUGAAUGAACAAAAUCUCAGUAUUACACUAAUUCCUGGAACUUUCUCUAUGCUUACUUAUCUGUGCAUUUUCUAGGUGUUAGAGGCAAGGCUAGCUAAAAUGUAAGCAUAUUUACUAGCUUUGAUGUUUAACAGUAGCUAAAUCUCUGUCUGAAUUAGAGUUUAAAUCCACAAGCACAAUACAGUCUUACUGGAAAGUGCCUACAGCUGUGCACAAUAAAUCAGACUUUCAUGCAAAAAAUACACUCAAGUGCAAACAUGCAUGGAUUUAAAUACUAAGGUAAAGAUAUGUGUAUGUGAACUAGUGUAGACUUUAACUUCUGUUCAUUUACUUCGCAGUAUUGUAAAAUUCAGAUUUUUUUUUCCUCAUCCAAGAGAAUGUGAUUAGCUGUAUGUCUAAACUUUGACAACAAACUAAGAGACCUGUUUUGUCAUCAGAAACCCCAAGAUGGCAAUACAGCCUUGUUUUUCUUUGCUGCUUAUUUCUGCUAUUAUUAUCAUAAUUAUUUUAUUGCAGUACAUGGAACAGAUGUGUGAUUUUCUCCUUUACUGAUAUCAGAAGUCACUGCUGAUUACUGAGGAUUAUUUGUACAACAGUGGAAAGCUCCCAGUACUUUGACAUUAAAUGAAUGAACGAAUGCUAUGAAUGACCUGGGGGUACUAAAAGAUUGCAUUUAAUAACAUUAACCAAAUAGAUAUCUCUGCUCAAGUUUGGUUUCCUUUUACAGAAGCAAGUGACUUAACAACCCUGUUAAGAAAAAAAUCUGUACUUACCUAUUAUUUGUGGCUCAAUGUGUAACAUAAAUUUGAAUAUAGGUAUUAUAUUUAGAAGCAGCAGCCUACAUUGAACAUCUACAUCAUAAUAACUUUUGAGCUAAUUCACACCAGGACUAUUUUCUUAUCCUGUAUUCAGACAGUUUAUAUAGAGCCAAGGUAAUCAGUUCUGAUGCAGCCAACUUCUCUUGGGGAGAACACCAUGAGCAAGUGAGAACAAGCAUUGUUGCAGGUGCUACAAUGCUUAAAUGAAAAGAUAUUGCAGAUUUACCAAAAUUGCUACUGCCUAUGACUGCUGCUCAGGAGUUUAUAAAGUAAUAGAUUUCAUAAUAAUGGAAAACCACAAAGGAAGAAAGCUAUUUAUGUGCUGGGUUAGUGAGACAUGCAUGCAUAGGGCUGUAUUGUGAUGUGAGGAGGGGUGCUUCUGAGGGCACCCAGUUGGAGAGCAUCAGGCUUAACAGUAGAGAGCUCAGGUAAAGUUGGGUGGGAGCGCAGGCUUCCACUUACAUAGAGAUUCAGAGAUCACUUUAUCCAGCCUUGCACAGAGAGAAAUUAUUUUACAAUAAUAGGUAAUAUCUGUGAGAAAUGAUUACAGAGUAGUACAGCAGGAAAGAUGCUGACAACACUAGGACUAAUGCUGUCAAGACAGUCAAAGAAAUAAGAGCUGUUUAAUACUCAGUCAAAAGUAAUAAAUUACAUUUAAAUCAUAUUAUACCUCUCCAGGAUCAUUUUAGUACUAGAAGACAAUGAAAAUAGAGGCACAGAUGAUCUUGAAGUACUCCUGAUUCAGAAUUUUUUUCUGUCUACAUGUGUAUAUAUUUGCAUAUACAUAUGCAGUAUUUGCAUAUAUUUGCAUGUAAGUAGUAUGUAGAGGAAGAAAGUAUCACUCAGAGUACUGCUCAAGAAAAACCUCACCCAGCAGAAACCUGGCUACACAAACAAGGCCAAACUGAUUUCUUAAUGUUUUACAGUCCUCUGAGGCCAGGGAAGGCAAUGGCUGUUAUACCAAAUGAGAGGUACAAAAUUCUGUACUUUCUGCUGUAGAACUGGUUGCAGUCAUAGCUAAAAAAUGAAUCACAAAAUUAAUUUUAUAAAACCGUAACACUGGGAGAUUAAAAUCAUAAGUCUUUGAAUAAAAUCUGUUUACUCUGGAAGGGAAACAAAAGGCUUAUGACAAGUGCUCAGUGCAAUAUCCUUUUUUCUGUCUUUAUAUCUUCUCUAAACAGCACUGCCAUUUUAAUACAGAUUUCUAAGUAGCAGCAUUUAGAAGGGAAAUCACAAAGGAGGAUGGGACUAUACAAUAUUGUUACUGAGCUAUAAAGAGUGUCUUAUUUUACUUAGUCUCCAUUAGAAAGAUUUUGCUCAGAACUUAGCUAUGUAGACAACUAAUGGUACCCUCGAAUUUCUGCUGGGAAACAGAAAGGAGAACAAAAGUUUUCUGGUGGCUCCUGCAUUUCCCAGAAAAAACAUUUUGAAGUUAAGAUAACUAAAAUCACAUGAAACCAUAAAUUAACUCCUCUCAGAAAAUUAUCUUGAAAAAGUAAGAAUAAUAUAGGGUUUCCUGUGACUAACCGUGAAAGUCAGAAGAAAUGCAGCAUCCAUGUUAUUCCUACAGGCAAGGUUCCAAAACUUGGCCGAGCAGUCAAGAAGUGAGAAGGGAGAUGAGACUGAAUUACCCUGUCACAUCAGGAGGAUAGCUAGCUAAUCCUGUGCUUGCUUGAGCUGCUGAACUACAUCUGAAAGGGCAGGACGGGGUGAGCUUGUACUGCCAGUUGAUAUUCUGUAUGUGUUGUGCAUUUCCAUGAGACUCUGAGUUCACAGUACCAUCAGUCUGGCAGGUUUUAAAGCACUACAAAUUAAGAAAGUUUAAUGGCUUAAACAUUUUGUUUUGUAAUGCAAGAUUCCAAAACCUCUGCUGCAACAAACCAAACAUACAUGAUGCAUUAAGUAGGCUGUUUUAUUUUGCAUAAGCUGUUCAUUGCAGAGGGUGUAGAGAAGAGGGAGGGGCAAAGAUUGAUUCGUUUGAAUUCAGAUGCAUCUCUGACAAGUAGAAAAUUGGCUGAAGGGUGAAAAAUUAUUUGUGCAGCAAAUGGGGAUUUAUAUGGAUUAGAGUCACACGCUUAGGAUCUGGAAAUGUUUUGUAUUAUUAGAACCAUCUUUACAGAUUAAUUAAUGGAGUUGUGUUGUAAGGAAUUGCUUUCGGUUUAGUAAAUAAACAUGUUAGGUGAAUCUAUCUGUGGUUUGAGAGUGAUGGGCCAGAAGAGCUUUAUGGAAAAGGGUACCCCAAAACCUGGGGUAGUUGGAUUCAGCAGGAUGGUUUGUCAUGGUGCGUGGGCAGUUCAUUUGCUUAGUGCUGUGAUGGAUGUACACAGAAAAUGCCAGGAUGAUUUACAUCCUCUAUAAUACUACAAAGAACAAUAAGAUUUCUUACAGUGAGUGCAAGGAAUUCUGCCUUUAGCACUGUUUGUUGUCCUCGCCAUUUAUUAUUUCUCAUUCUCUGGAAGAAAUACCUGCAGCUUCUGAAUGCUUCAUAGAUUUGCAAGGUAGCCCCUGACCUCCAUGUACCCAAAGGUGUGAUCACCCAGGAGACAUUAAUGCCUUAGUAACUUCAAUGUGCACAAAUGCAUAACGACUUGAACUGAGUAACACAUGUAAGAGCAAGGAGAAAAACAGUAAAAUAAGGUGCAUUUUUGGAAACCUGCUACACUUCUAACUUCUCAUAUGCUACUUCAUAACAUAUGGUAAGUUACACAAGAGGUUCAGUUCAUUCCUGAACUUUGCAAAUGAGUUUUGUAGAGCUCUGGAAUGCUUGCAGGAAUUAAUUGCAUUUUUCUUCCACAGUGUCAACUGGAAUACGUGUUUUGCUAAAAUUAGUGGAAAACUGGGAUGCAGGCAGCAAACAUAGAAUGAUAAUUGGCAUACAUUGGUAUGGCACACCUACCACAUACAGAUCUGAUUAAGCAGGUUCAAAAAUGAUGACAAAUAAUUAAUAUCUAUUGUAUUUUUCCAAUAAUCUCUUUUUUUUUUUUCAAGAGUAGCCGUUAUUUUGUUCUGCAUGCAAGUCAAAAUAUAUUCCACCCUGAGAAACUUCAUGAGACACAGAUUUUAACUUCAGUUCUAUGUGUGCUUAAAAAAAACAAACCUGUUUUUCUGCCCUUGAAACAGUAUGACCAGUUUAAAGGAACGUACUUACUUACAUCCUUAUAGCAUCAUCAUAUGCCUCCUGAAACCAAAAGAAGGACCUAGAUAUUUGAGAUGUUUCCUCAUCCCCCCCCCCCCAUUCCAGUUUAUAAGUUCAUAUUUAAAUCUAUUUCAAUAUCAGUAUUGAGCAGCAAUCUAAAACUAUAGACAGUGGUCCUUGAAAAGAGGCAUAGAUUGUGGUGAAGAUUAAAAUGAUAAAUAUUUUACAUUUGAUUUUGAUAAAAAAUAACAUGUUAGUAUCACAUGGUAACUUGUCCUUUACUUGAGUGAAUUUAGAAAUCCCCCAAAAUCAGGAAAGACAGAAGAUGGGCAGCUGUAACACAGACGGACAAGUGUCAGGUUUACCUGCUUGUGAGCAUGGUCAUAAGAAUUGAUGUGGUUGUCAAAUUCCUGGUGUUUGUGGUACUGCUUGUCACACAGUUCACAAUAGAAGUUAGCCUUCACAUCCUCCAGAGCCUUGGCUGCAGCUUUCUCCUUCUCAGCAUAGUCCUGAAAGGCAGAAGCAAAGGGAGACACAGAUCAUAAGCUCACACUGUUUUCGUCAUCCGUGCUAAAAACAACAGAAACUGGAACUGCUAGCUCACCGGGCUCCACCUUAGUAUCAAAGUAAACACUAAAAAGCUCUUUUUCUCAAGUUGGAUUUAAUUAAAUAGUUGUAUUACUUGAAUAAUUACUCUUAGCACUUUCUUUAGGUACUGUAGUAAUCAAAAUACAGUGAAUUAAGGUCAGAGGAAUACCAUCAGGGCACGACCUGGCUUUUGGGUGGAAGAGCUGAGCAGUGAGGAGCACAUAAAAUACCAGGAGGAUGAGUUGAGUGCUACAGAAGUUGGCAGCCCUGCUCCAUCUCUUCUCUUUCAGAUGCUAUUGCUCAGAAGAAAGCAGCCAGUUUUAGCCUGCUACCAACGCAGAUUUUCUUUUGUGUACUGUGUUCUACCUCACAUCAAAUAUUCAGCAGGACCAGAGAGCAGCUGGCUACAGCCAGCUGAGAUUCCCCUGGAACAGUGCCACCAUGCUGCCGUGUCCCUUCCCCCGCAACCACUUUAGGGGACGUAUCAUCCCACACAAAUCACCCUGCCCAGUGCAGCCGUCACCCAACAGACAUGGGCACAACCACUGAUGUGAGCUGGCACACCUCUCACACUGCCCUAGUGCAAGAAUAGGGCCAGGGUCAGGCAAACACGGCUGAAAGAAAGGGAAAACACAAGCGGUUUCUCCCUCUGUGUCUCUCAAAUGACAUAGAAAGCUGCUUUGAAGGGACAUGUACUAUGCUUUCAAUAUAUACCUGGUACACAAAGAAAGCUUAAAAUAUUGGAGACAUUGGUUACUGACCUACAAACAAUACACUUAGAUAUGAGGGCUUGUUAGUCCAAAUUGGAAGCAGCCUUUGCCAAUCUUAUAUUUUUUACAAGUCCUUCACUAUAUUAUUAUUGUUGUUAUUACUAUUAUUAUUAUACUUGAAUCUUUUACUUUAGAGUUUAAAGAGCAAACUUCAGUCUGACAAGGGAAGAAUUACUGAAAAAGUUGGUGAAAGCGAUUAAUUUUAUAUUCACAUUGACAAUUUUAUAUUACUUGAGUAUAUGCAAGCUGUUGCCAAGGAUUGCAGUAAUUCAUCAUUUGCUGUACCAUUUUAUUCACUGUAAGAAAUGUGUACAUUUAAUAACUAGACUUUCCAUGCUAUGCAGACAGUGCUGUCUGGUGUGUGCAUGGUUUCACCAUCCUGCCUGCAGCAAACUCUAGGUAGGCCCAAGUUGGGACACAUUACAUGGCUGCGACACUCCUGGGUCACACUGCCUGGUAGUAGUCCAGGCACCAGGGGGAAAAUUUAGGCCAGAGCAGAGCCAUGUGGGUGAACCUUCGAAAGGGAAGGACUUUCUUAAUGAAAUCAUGGGUUUUCAUCCUGGGACUUGAGCAGGCAGCAGAGAUGUUGGCUGUCCAUGUGGCACAUGAGAGCUUUGGAGGAAUCCAUGCUGUGAGACCUGCAGCUUUGCCCUGAUCUACAUGCCAUCAGGUUGAUAUCAGUAGGUCUUUCUCACAUGGUACUUAGAGGCUGGCAUUGCUAGUGAAGGGAACUUCAGCUGAAGUAGCCUGCCUAGAAGCUAGGUUUAGGACCACGCACCUAAGGCACUGCUUAAGCUUCUAUAAGAAACAGAAAAAAUGAUAGCCACUGCCAGAUAAUGAUUAAUUCUAUCUACUUCAAAAACCCAUUUUAGUAUGAGAUGAAACUCUCCAGAAGUGCUAUAUCUCUCUAUCAACCACUGCAAGACCCUAAAUUACUAACCUGGACUACAUCCUUAAUUUUAGAUUGCUGAACUCAGGGAUAAUGAGUUCCAUAUUGUAUCCUUUUAUAUUCAAUUCUAAAUCUCCCCACGAAACUUGUAUGAACUGACCAGCUUGAAGACAGGAGAUCAAAGAGGAAACUGUGCCUGGAAUUUUGAUUUUACAUCUUACAAAUGCUGCCAACAACAUUCCAGUCUCUCCCACAGGACAACAUCCAAAUAACUUUUUUCCCUGCAUACAUAUGGCUCAGGUGGAUUAGUAUACUGUGAUAUGCUCAGAUAGAUUGAUUGUUUCAAAAAGCAAGUAGCCUGAGCUAACUCACUUCUCCACUUGAGAGGCUACUUGGUCAUAGUAGCUAAUACUUGAUUGUAUUAGUGGAAAAUGUUCUUGUAAUUAAAUAGUUAAAUGGCUUCCAUUAGUUAUUUAAAUUUACAAAGCCCAUUAAAAAGUGAUACUUUUCAGCUUAUGCUUCCAACCCAUUGUUUUGCUAACAUUAAUUAUUCACUGGGCCUUUGGUAUAAUUAAAAUGCAUAAAUUAGAAUGUGGAUGCAAUAGCAUUAAUUAUGCAGUGAUGCCUUCCUUGGAAGUCAAGUGUUGGAGGCAACGCAUUUUUAUUCUAAACUAGUAAAAAUGUAAGUUUUGCACUUGCUGGCAACCAGCCAAAGCAUAAUUGUUUUGUUUUUCUUUACUGUUUCUGAACUGUCAAUUAAGUGUUUACAGCCUGCUCCAUCUUUGCUUCUGUUGAAGGAGAAGCCUAAUUGUUUGGGGUGAACACACCACAUUACUCUCUGUGAAGCACAACUGAAACUGCUGUUCAUGAGCAUUCCAAACUGCCAACUUUAUCUUUCUCAGCAGAAAUUAAUACAGUCCCCUUAGCAUAAAGAUGUUUUAAAAUAGCAACAAGGCAGCUCCCAGGUGCAUCCUAAGAUAAUCACAACUACCUCCAUUGCCUUAUUGCUUAAUUAUGCUUGUCUACCAUGGCAAAAGAUAUAAUUUCCUGCUUGCUUAUCGAUCA
Gallus gallus (chicken) is the source of this 8322-nucleotide long non-coding RNA. RefSeq lists it as uncharacterized. NCBI's taxonomy places the organism in Eukaryota, Metazoa, Chordata, Aves, Galliformes, Phasianidae. The record is from RefSeq and is a predicted model, not a curated record. The transcript is spliced from 4 exons.